UGGGGCGGUGCCUAUUACAUGCAAGUCGAGCGAACUGAUUAGAAAGCUUGCUUCUAUGACGUUAGCGCCCCCCACGAAAUGAGUAACACGUGGGCAACCUGCCUGUAAGACUGGGAUAACUCCGGGAAACCGGAGCUAAUACCGGAUAACAUUUUCUCUUGCAUAAGAGAAAAUUGAAAGAUGGUUUCGGCUAUCACUUACAGAUGGGCCCGCGGUGCAUUAGCUAGUUGGUGAGGUAACGGCUCACCAAGGCAACGAUGCAUAGCCGACCUGAGAGGGUGAUCGGCCACACUGGGACUGAGACACGGCCCAGACUCCUACGGGAGGCAGCAGUAGGGAAUCUUCCGCAAUGGACGAAAGUCUGACGGAGCAACGCCGCGUGAGUGAUGAAGGCUUUCGGGUCGUAAAACUCUGUUGUUAGGGAAGAACAAGUACAAGAGUAACUGCUUGUACCUUGACGGUACCUAACCAGAAAGCCACGGCUAACUACGUGCCAGCAGCCGCGGUAAUACGUAGGUGGCAAGCGUUAUCCGGAAUUAUUGGGCGUAAAGCGCGCGCAGGCGGUUUCUUAAGUCUGAUGUGAAAGCCCACGGCUCAACCGUGGAGGGUCAUUGGAAACUGGGGAACUUGAGUGCAGAAGAGAAAAGCGGAAUUCCACGUGUAGCGGUGAAAUGCGUAGAGAUGUGGAGGAACACCAGUGGCGAAGGCGGCUUUUUGGUCUGUAACUGACGCUGAGGCG
This 739-nucleotide ribosomal RNA is filed under the name Priestia flexa. RNAcentral's name for it is "bacterial SSU rRNA". It matches the Rfam family "Bacterial small subunit ribosomal RNA", at positions 38 to 753 of the family's 1533-position model. The record is from RNAcentral. Lineage: Bacteria; Bacillati; Bacillota; Bacilli; Caryophanales; Bacillaceae.